This 329-nucleotide ribosomal RNA is filed under the name Parribacus antarcticus. RNAcentral's name for it is "eukaryotic LSU rRNA". It matches the Rfam family "Eukaryotic large subunit ribosomal RNA", at positions 1317 to 1605 of the family's 3401-position model. The record is from RNAcentral. Lineage: Eukaryota; Metazoa; Arthropoda; Malacostraca; Decapoda; Scyllaridae.
AAUGGUAUGGCGCUCAAGCAUUCUCCCGAUACUCGACCGCCGGGGCACUACCGACCGCCGAGCGGACUACCUUGUCCGUUUCAGGUCUCGAAGCCCCGGCGAGUAGGAGGGUCGCGGUGGUGUGCGCUGAAGGGUUCGGCGUAAGCCGGCCUGGAGCCUCCACCGGUGCAGAUCUUGGUGGUAGUAGCAAAUAAUCGAGAGAGACUCCCUUGAAGGCCGAAGUGGAGAAGGGUUCCAUGUGAACAUCAGUUGGACAUGGGUUAGUCGCUCCUAAGCCCAAGGCGAAAGCCUGAUCCCACGUUAGAGGCAACGACCAAACGAAGGGGGAA